RNAcentral lists this long non-coding RNA (3820 nucleotides) under Homo sapiens (human). RNAcentral describes it as "non-protein coding lnc-NPAP1-6:1". The record is from RNAcentral. Lineage: Eukaryota; Metazoa; Chordata; Mammalia; Primates; Hominidae.
UUUGUUUUUGUUUUUAGUUUUGGCUUUUUAGGUGUAUGAUUGUAUUAGUCUGUUCCCACACUGCUAUAAAGAACUACCUGAGACUGGGUAAGUAAUAAAGAACAGUGGUUUACUAUAUCCACAAUUCUACAGACUGUACAGGAGGCAUGACUGGGGAGACUUACAAUCAUGGUGGAAGGAAAAGGGGAAGCAAGCACAUCUUACAUGGCUGGAGAAAGAGGAAUAGAUAGAAGAAGGAAGUGCCACACAGUUUUAAGCAACCACAGUUUGUGAUAACUCACUAUCAUAAGAACAGAAAGGGGGAAUCUACCCCCAUGAGUUAGUCGCCUCGCACCAGGCCCCUCCUCCAACAUUGGAGAUUACAAUUUGCCAUGAGAUUGGGAGGUGACACAAAUCUAAACCAUAUCAUCCUGCCCCUGGCCCCUCCUAAAUAUCAUGUUUUUUUCUCAUAUUGCAAAAUACAAUCAUUCCUUCUCAAUAGUCACCCAACUCUUAACUCAUUUCAGCAUUAACUCAAAAGUCCACAGUCCAAAGUUUCAUCAGAGAUAAGGCAAGUCCCUUCUACCCAUGAGCCUGUAAAAUCAAAAGCAAAGUCAUUACAUUCAAUAUACAAUGGGGGUACAGGCAUUGGGUAAAUACACUCAUUCCAAAAGUUAUAAAUCAGCUGGAAAGGAGGGACAACAGGCCCCAUGCAAGUUUGAAACCCAGUAGGGCAGUCAUUAAAUCUUAAAGCUCCAAAAUGAUCUCCUUUGAAUCUGCAUCUCACAUCCAGGCCUCACUGAUGCAAGGUAAGGGCUUUCAAGGCCUUGGGCAGCUCUGCCUCUCUGGCUUGGCAGAGCUCAUCUAUUGUGGCUGCUCUCAAGGGCUGGCAUUGAGUGCCUGUGGCUUUUCCAGGCACAUAGUGCAAGCUGUUGGUGGAUAUACCACUCUGGGUUCUGGAGGACAGUGGCCCUCUUCUCACAGUUCCACUAGGCCCCCAGUGGAGACUGUUUCUCGACGCUCCAACUCUAUACUUCUCUGUGCUGUCCUAGUACAGGUUUUCCCUAAGGGCUCCAUCACUGCAGCAGACUUCUGCCUGGGCAUCGAGGCAUUUCCAUACAUUCUCUGAAACCUAGGCAGAGGCUCCCAAGCCUCAACUCUUUCCCUCUGUGUACCUUCAGGCUUAACACCACGUGGAAACUGCCAAGGAUUAUGGCUUGCACCUCCUGGAGCAUGGACUGAUAAGUAUCUGGGGACCUUUUAAUCAUACCUGGAGCUGGAGCAGCUGGGGCACAGGGAGCAGUGGCCCAAGGUUGCACAGGGCACCAAGGCCUUGAGCUUGGUCCUUGAAACAAUUAUUUUCUCCUAGGCUUUUGUGCCUAUGAUGGGAGGGGCUGAUGGGAAGGUUUCUGAAGUGGCUUUGAGGCAUUUUCCUUAUUGUCUUGGGUAUUAAAAUUCAGUUUCUCUUUCUUUUUGUUUUGUUUUGUUUUUUUUUUAGAUGGACAAGUCUCGCUCUGUCACCCAGGCUGGAGUGCAGUGGUGCGAUCUCAGCUCACUGCAAGCUCCAUCCUCCCAGGUUUACACCAUUCUCCUGCCUCUGCCUCCCGAGCAGCUGGGACUACAGGCACCCACCACCAUGCCCGGCUAAUUUUUUGUAUUUUAUAAUAGAGUUGGAAUUUCACCUUGUUAGGCAGGAUGGUCUCAAUCUCCUGACCUCGUGAUCCACCCAUCUCAGCCUCCCAAAGUGCUGGGAUUACAGGCGUGAGCCACCAUGCCUGGCUAAUUUGGCUCCUCUUAUGCGAAUUUCUACAGCUGGCUUGAAUUCCUCCCCAGAAAAUGGAUUCGUCUUUUAUUGUUUUACUUUUUUUUUUUUUUUUUGAGACAAGUCUUACUCUGUUGCCCAGGCUGGAGUGCAGUGGUGCGAUCUCAGCUCACUGCAACCUCCACCUCCCGGGUUCAAGUAAUUCUUCUGCCUCAGCCUCCUGAGUAGCUGGGACUACAGGCAUGUGCCACCACGCCCAGCUAAAUUUUGUAUUUUUAGUAGAGACGAGGUUUCACCAUAUUGGCCAGGCUGGUCUUGAACUCCUGACCUUAUGAUCCACCCACCUCAGCUUCCUAAGGUGCUGGGAUUACAGGCAUGAGCCACAGUACCUCGUCAGGUUUUUCUUUUUUACAAAAUGGCUGGACUGCAAAUUUUCUAAACUUUUAUGCUCUGCCUGUUUUUUAAAUAUAAGUUUUAGUUUCAUAGCAUCCCUUUGCUCACACUAUGACAAUACACUGUUAGAAGCAGCCAGGCCACAUCUUGAACACUUUGCUGCUUAGCAAUUUCUUCCACAAGAUACCCUAAAUCAUCAGUCUCCAAUUCAAAGUUCCACAGAUCCCUAGAGCAGGGGCACAAUGCCACCAGUCUCUGUGCUAACAUAACAAGAGUGACCCUUACUCUAGUUCCCAAUAAGUUCCUCAUCUCCAUCUGAGACCACCUCAGCCUGGACUUCAUAGUCCAUGUCACUAUCAGCAUUGUGGUCACAAAAAUUUAACCAGUCUCUGGAAAGUUCCAAACUUCUCCUCAUAUUCCUGUCUUUUUCUGACCCCCUCCAGACUGUUCCAACCUCUGCUCAUUACCCGGUAUCAAAGUCACCUCCACUUUUCAAGUAUCUUUAUAGCAAUGCCCCACUCCCAGUAGCAAUUUUCUGUAUUAGCCUUCUUGCAUUGCUAUAAAGAACUAUCUGAAACUGGGUAAUUUAUAAAGCAAAGAGGUUUAAUUGACUCAUAUAGUUCUGCAGGCUGUAGAGGAAACAUGGCUGGGGAGGCCUCAGGAACUUACAAUCAUGGCAGAAGGAGAAGGGAAAGCAGACACAUCUUUUAUGGCCUGAGAAGGAAGAAGAGAAAGAAGGGUAUGAAAUAAUUUCCUAUUGAAGUCAUCUUAACAUGGAACCAGAAUUAAAUCCUAACAACAAUCAUGUGAGCCUGGGGAGGAUCCUUCCCCACGUGAGCCUUCAGGGGAGACUUCAGCCUUGGCCAUCUUCUCCAUCUAGAUUCCUGACCAAGAGAAACUGACCAUAUAUUCUGUUGCUCUUCACAUCUUGGAAUUAUAUUGUCCAUUUCCAGGGUCAAAGACCACAGAAUAAAUGUCAUCCUGGCAGCAGAAACAGGUUCUAAGUAUGUUGCCCAAGCUGGUCCUGAACUCCUAGCCUCAAGUAAUCCUCCUGCCUCAACCUACCAAAGCAUUGGGAUUACAAGUUUGACCCACCAUGAUCAGUCCAGGGUAGGAAAUGGAAUCUUAACAACUGUCACGUGAGCUUUGAGGGAAUCCUUCUCCAGAUGAGCCUUCAGUUGAGACCUCAGCCUUGGACAUCAUCUACAUCUGGAUUCCUGACCCAGAGCAACUGCUUAGUUUUCUAAAGAUAAUUCUGCCUUCAAGCCUUGUUGGAAUUCUGUGAUAAUGUCUUUUCACUCCACGAUCUCCAUCAGGAAUUUUAUGGAACCUUGUAUUCUGUUGAAUACCAGAAUUACAUCAGCAAUCCCCAAGCCCCAAAGUCACCGGAUGGGCAUCAUUAUGACAGCAGAUCACCCAAUUGGCGUGCAUUUCCAGGAAUGCAUUUAUGGAAUAAGAAUAAAUGUUUACUCCCUUUUCCUGGGACAGUUCUAAAGACUCAGACCGUGAUCAUGGGCUACAUUCUCCAUACCAGCUUCAUAGCUCCAGUGAGAAAAUAAAUUCCUGCACCCAGGAGACGUGGAGUAAGAGAUACAGCUGCCCUUGACCAUAUUUCUUACUUCCGAGAAGAUUGUAGCAGUAAUUCAGGUGCUAUUAUUUGGGACAUUUAUAAUUCGAUAAACCUUC